This 35-nucleotide small RNA is filed under the name Xenorhabdus thuongxuanensis. Its description in RNAcentral is "StyR-44". The record is from RNAcentral. Lineage: Bacteria; Pseudomonadati; Pseudomonadota; Gammaproteobacteria; Enterobacterales; Morganellaceae.
CUUUAACAAUCUGGAACAAGCUGAAAAUUUGAAAC